RNAcentral lists this ribosomal RNA (445 nucleotides) under uncultured bacterium. RNAcentral describes it as "bacterial SSU rRNA". It matches the Rfam family "Bacterial small subunit ribosomal RNA", at positions 331 to 792 of the family's 1533-position model. The record is from RNAcentral.
CCAGACCCCUACGGGAGGCAGCAGUGGGGAAUAUUGCACAAUGGGGGAAACCCUGAUGCAGCGACGCCGCGUGAGUGAGGAAGUAUUUCGGUAUGUAAAGCUCUAUCAGCAGGGAAGAAAAUGACGGUACCUGACUAAGAAGCCCCGGCUAACUACGUGCCAGCAGCCGCGGUAAAACGUAGGGGGCGAGCGUUGUCCGGAAUGACUGGGCGUAAAGGGUGCGUAGGCGGCAUAAUAAGUUAGAAGUGAAAUACCCAGGGCUUAACUCGGGUGCUGCUUCUAAGACUGUUGAGCUUGAGUGCGGGAGAGGUUAAUGGAAUUCCUAGUGUAGCGGUGGAAUGCGUAGAUAUUAGGAGGAACAUCAGUGGCGAAGGCGACUUUCUGGACUGUAACUGACGCUGAGGCACGAAAGUGUGGGGAGCAAACAGGAUUAGAUACCCCUGUA